AUGCUCACUUUGGCAACACAUAUACUACAAUUGAAAUGAUAGAGAGGUUAGCACAGCCCCUGUGUAAGGGUGACACACACUCAUGAAAUGUUCUGUGCUUUA
Molecule: small nuclear RNA, 102 nt
Filed under: Chinchilla lanigera (long-tailed chinchilla)
Lineage: Eukaryota; Metazoa; Chordata; Mammalia; Rodentia; Chinchillidae
Source: RNAcentral